This 1078-nucleotide long non-coding RNA is filed under the name Capsicum annuum. RNAcentral's name for it is "long non-coding RNA (CANN_LNC021224)". Lineage: Eukaryota; Viridiplantae; Streptophyta; Magnoliopsida; Solanales; Solanaceae. The record is from RNAcentral.
UCAACUGGAAAUAUGAAAUGGCUUGAAAGAACCGUUGAAGAGCUGGGACAUAAAAUUAUGAUGGCAAGGAGAAAGAAGCAGGGAACGCAAAGGAACUACAGAAGACGAAAUAACCUCUUCUAGAAAAUUUACCAAUGGAGCAAAAUUCGAUUUCAGGAACUUACAGUUAUUCAAGCUGAGCUAAACAACUAAUCGAUACUCUCUCCGAAGCAUAUUCUUCUUAUUGAUAAGUGUUUGAUGUUCACUAUCUUGUUUUUCAAAUUUCAGAUGUCAAGGAUAAGAGGACGUUGGCGCAGUGGAGUUAGUUACUCCUAUUGUUCACUACUAAGCUUAAUUUUGAGAGAUGUCUGCAUUUACAUUUGUUCUUCUUUAGUUUGUAUUAAUCUACUUAAGGUUUAUAAACUUAAUAUAUUUUUCAAGUUCAUAUGCUCAAGUUUGAAUGUCUCGUUACAUAAUCCCAAAAGGAAGACAAUAGCUCAAGCUAUUUAAUUCAUAAUUUCAAACCAUAUUUGUUUCGCAAACAGAAAUAAGCUUAUAGAUCACUAACUGAUCUGUUACAAAUUAGAACAAGAAAAUAUUACGAAUCGAAACCUGAAUUCUCUUCAGUAUUCCGUCCUCACAAGAGUACGCGAAGAAUCUAAGAGGUACUCCCAUACAAACGGAAAUAGUUGUCUAUUCUGCAUCUUAAUGACAAUCACGUUCUCUACUUUCCUAUAUUUGAACUAUAACUCUUCUGUUUCUGCUAAUUUGACCAACUUGUCUAUUUUGUUUCUUCAUGAGAAUCACCUUUCUGGACCUAUUCCUGAAGAGAUUUGGCAAAUUAAAAGGACGUCUUUCAUAUAAAAUAUAGUAAAGAAAUUAUUUUCUAUAACCUCUUCUAGAAAAUUUACCAAUGGAGCAAAAUUCGAUUUCAGGAACUUACAGUUAUUCAAGCUGAGCUAAACAACUAAUCGAUACUCUCUCCGAAGCAUAUUCUUCUUAUUGAUAAGUGUUUGAUGUUCACUAUCUUGUUUUUCAAAUUUCAGAUGUCAAGGAUAAGAGGACGUUGGCGCAGUGGAGUUAGUUACUCCUAUUGUUC